RNAcentral lists this ribosomal RNA (253 nucleotides) under uncultured bacterium. Its description in RNAcentral is "partial 16S ribosomal RNA". It matches the Rfam family "Bacterial small subunit ribosomal RNA", at positions 524 to 776 of the family's 1533-position model. The record is from RNAcentral.
UACAGAGGGUGCAAGCGUUAAUCGGAAUUACUGGGCGUAAAGCGCGCGUAGGUGGUUCGUUAAGUUGGAUGUGAAAUCCCCGGGCUCAACCUGGGAACUGCAUUCAAAACUGACGAGCUAGAGUAUGGUAGAGGGUGGUGGAAUUUCCUGUGUAGCGGUGAAAUGCGUAGAUAUAGGAAGGAACACCAGUGGCGAAGGCGACCACCUGGACUGAUACUGACACUGAGGUGCGAAAGCGUGGGGAGCGAACAGG